Lynx canadensis (Canada lynx) is the source of this 209-nucleotide long non-coding RNA. RefSeq lists it as uncharacterized. The record is from RefSeq and is a predicted model, not a curated record. The transcript has 2 exons. NCBI's taxonomy places the organism in Eukaryota, Metazoa, Chordata, Mammalia, Carnivora, Felidae.
CUUCAAUUUGGGGGUGAGAUUCAGGAACUAUAGAAUGUCUUCUCUAAGAAUUUGUUAUCUGUGUAUAAAAUAAAGACCUAGGAAUUGUAGGUUUAAAGAAAGGUUUGUUUCUCUGCUUGAGGCCUAAAAGCUAGUUCUUCAUAUCCAGUUCACCAAUGUUGAAAGGCUAAGAGUUUUAACCUGAUCUUUUUUUUUUUUUUUAAUUUUAG